GAUGAACGCUGGCGGCGUGCUUAACACAUGCAAGUCGAACGGAAAGGCCCUGCUUUUGUGGGGUGCUCGAGUGGGGAAGGGGUGAGUAACACGUGAGUAACCUGCCCUUGUCUUUGGGAUAACUUCAGGAAACUGGGGCUAAUAUAGGAUAGGAGCUCCUGCUGCAUGGUGGGGGUUGGAAAGUUUCGGCGGUUGGGGAUGGACUGGCGGGUUAUCAGCUUGUUGGUGGGGUAGUGGAUGACCAAGGCUGUGACGGGUAGCCGGCCUGAGAGGGUGACCGGGCACAUGGGGCCUGAGGGACGGCGCAGACGGCAACGGGAGGCAGCAGUGGGGAAUAUUGCACAGUGGGCGGGAGCCUGAUGCAGCAACGCCGCGUGCGUGAUGACGUCUUGCGGGGUGUGAACCGCUGUCGCCUGAGACGAAGCGUGAGUGACGGUAACGGGUAAAGAAGCACCGGCUAACUACGUG
This 468-nucleotide ribosomal RNA is filed under the name uncultured bacterium. Its description in RNAcentral is "partial 16S ribosomal RNA". It matches the Rfam family "Bacterial small subunit ribosomal RNA", at positions 28 to 507 of the family's 1533-position model. The record is from RNAcentral.